Molecule: ribosomal RNA, 254 nt
Filed under: uncultured bacterium
Lineage: Bacteria
Description: partial 16S ribosomal RNA
Rfam family: Bacterial small subunit ribosomal RNA
Source: RNAcentral
UACGGGGGGAGCAAGCGUUGUUCGGAUUUACUGGGCGUAAAGGGCGCGUAGGCGGCCUCCGCAAGUCAGUUGUGAAAUCUCCGAGCUUAACUCGGAAAGGUCAACUGAUACUGCGGGGCUAGAGUGCGGAAGGGGCAACUGGAAUUCUUGGUGUAGCGGUGAAAUGCGUAGAUAUCAGGAGGAACACCAAUGGCGAAGGCAGCUCGCUGGGACGUGACUGACGCUGAGACGCGAAAGCGUGGGGAGCAAACAGG